Molecule: long non-coding RNA, 1090 nt
Organism: Varanus komodoensis (Komodo dragon)
Lineage: Eukaryota; Metazoa; Chordata; Lepidosauria; Squamata; Varanidae
Exons: 4
Source: RefSeq, a predicted model, not a curated record
AGUGGAGAUGGACGUGAAUGGGUGGAUAUGUGCACAUAAAGGGUGACAGAAGGAAAAAUCCGAAUGAGUCCUGGGAUGUGAGUUCGUUCUGGUUAUGAUUAUGUUCAGGGAAGCAAAAGGACAGGAAAAGUGAUAGGACAGCAUGUGAGGGCUGCAAAUGGAAGACAUAGUUGUCUGCAUCCCCCUGUAAAAUUCUCUGAACGAGGCAGAGUGAAUGCACCAUAAAAGCCUCACCUGGAAGUGGGCAUAGCCUUACAUCAACCAAUUCUGUGGAAGAAACUUAUGGAAAUACUUUUCACUAUCCAGCACAAUAGAUGAAUUCUGGAUGACCUCAAGCUAUGUGUGUGGGAAGAAACAGCAAGCGGGGAGAAAAAAGUCCAAGAAAGAACUGAGAUUGUCUCUGUGACUGUGACACUGUGCUCCACCCACUUCCUACGCACCCUGCCUAUUUUAUAAAUAAAUGCAAAUAAUAGAAAACUUGCUUUCAACAAAGAAAUCAAACUCAGAUCGAUGAGGAAAUUGGAUGGAACUGACAUGCAAAACUGCCAUGGACCAAAGAUAGGUGGAUUCUUUGGUUCCUAGCCUGGAGUGAGUUAGGACCAGGAUCUGGGAGUCAAGCCUGAGGAGCAUUCAGGAUCAGAGAACAAGCCAGAAGCAAUACAAGACAUUCCAGAGCUCAGAUAGAUCUUGUUGAAUAAAUGAAGCUCCUUGAGGGAACCUUCCUUCCUGCCCAGGAGGACACCACAGCCAGCCUCGGGGGAGCCAGUCUGGCAGGUUCUUCACUGAGUGGCUGUGGUGAUGCGGCUCACUGGCAGGGGCAGUUCCUGUCAUAUAGGGCUGUUCUCACAGGAUCUCUGGAUCUUCAGGUCAAGAAGGCAGUGAAGCUGAGAGACAUAUAGGCAUUUUUUAAAUCAGUGGGUCUAGGCCAACACUCUAACUGUUCACCACAUUGGUUCUCUUGGUGUCCUUUGGUAAGUCGCACUAACAAGGCUUCUAGAAUACUUUCUCAAUGACUGAGCAGUGGGUCUCAGUUCAUCUGCAGUGGUCAAAAGAAUUGAAUUGGUUAAGAAUACUCCAGCUAGGCAUACUG